UGGGGAAUUUUGGACAAUGGGGGCAACCCUGAUCCAGCCAUGCCGCGUGAGUGAAGAAGGCCUUCGGGUUGUAAAGCUCUUUCGGACGGAACGAAAUGGUUAUGGUGAAUAUCCAUGACUGAUGACGGUACUGUAAGAAGAAGCACCGGCUAACUACGUGCCAGCAGCCGCGGUAAUACGUAGGGUGCAAGCGUUAAUCGGAAUUACUGGGCGUAAAGCGUGCGCAGGCGGUUGUGUAAGUCAGAUGUGAAAUCCCCGGGCUCAACCUGGGAAUUGCAUUUGAGACUGCACGGCUAGAGUGUGUCAGAGGGGGUAGAAUUCCACGUGUAGCAGUGAAAUGCGUAGAGAUGUGGAGGAACACCGAUGGCGAAGGCAGCCCCCUGGGCCAACACUGACGCUCAGGCACGAAAGCGUGGGGAGCAAACAGGAUUAGAUACCCCUGUAGUCCCUGAGCGGGCUGGCAAGGCGCAU
This 471-nucleotide ribosomal RNA is filed under the name uncultured bacterium. Its description in RNAcentral is "bacterial SSU rRNA". It matches the Rfam family "Bacterial small subunit ribosomal RNA", at positions 355 to 825 of the family's 1533-position model. The record is from RNAcentral.